RNAcentral lists this ribosomal RNA (278 nucleotides) under uncultured bacterium. RNAcentral's name for it is "partial 16S ribosomal RNA". It matches the Rfam family "Bacterial small subunit ribosomal RNA", at positions 506 to 784 of the family's 1533-position model. The record is from RNAcentral.
UGCCAGCCGCCGCGUAAUACAUAGGGGUCAAGCGUUGUCCGGAAUCAUUGGGUUUAAAGGGUCCGCAGGCGGUCAAUUAAGUCAGAGGUGAAAUCCCAUCGCUCAACGAUGGAACUGCCUUUGAUACUGAUUGACUUGAGUUAUAUGGAAGUAGAUAGAAUAAGUAGUGUAGCGGUGAAAUGCAUAGAUAUUACUUAGAAUACCGAUUGCGAAGGCAGUCUACUACGUAUAUACUGACGCUGAGGGACGAAAGCGUGGGGAGCGAACAGGAUUAGAUA